Molecule: long non-coding RNA, 231 nt
Filed under: Solanum tuberosum (potato)
Lineage: Eukaryota; Viridiplantae; Streptophyta; Magnoliopsida; Solanales; Solanaceae
Description: long non-coding RNA (STUB_LNC010195)
Source: RNAcentral
AGAAUUAUAUAUGUACUAAGUUAAGAGCAAUUUGAAGAGGACAUCAUCACAAAUAUCAAAAGAUGUACUUUGGUGAAUAUCUGAUUUAAACUUGAAAAAAUAAUCAAGAGGGCUAAGUGAGAGAGAACAAUUUGGAAGAAUAAGACUCUUGAGCUUUGCCGAUUAUUUUAUUCUGUAUUAGAACAAUUAAUACAUGAAACUUGAGUGCUCAAUUGUUUCACUUUAUACAAU